This is a non-coding RNA of Guyanagaster necrorhizus, 92 nucleotides long. The record is from the annotation of a RefSeq genome assembly. NCBI's taxonomy places the organism in Eukaryota, Fungi, Basidiomycota, Agaricomycetes, Agaricales, Physalacriaceae.
UCCCUAUUAGCUCAGUUGGUAGAGCGUGUCACUAGUAUACUGUUUGGUUUACUACGAUGACGAGGUCAGUCGUUCAAGUCGGCUAGAGAGAA